Molecule: ribosomal RNA, 396 nt
Filed under: uncultured bacterium
Lineage: Bacteria
Description: partial 16S ribosomal RNA
Rfam family: Bacterial small subunit ribosomal RNA
Source: RNAcentral
AUACGUAGGUGACAAGCGUUAUCCGGAUUUACUGGGCGUAAAGGGCGUGUAGGCGGUCUUGCAAGUCAGAAGUGAAAUUCCUGAGCUCAACUCGGGCGCUGCUUCUGAAACUGCAGGACUUGAGUGCUGGAGGGGAUAGCGGAAUUCCUAGUGGAGCGGUAAAAUGCGCAGAUAUUAGGAAGAACACCGGUGGCGAAGGCGGCUAUCUGGACAGUAACUGACGCUGAGGCGCGAAAGCGUGGGGAGCAAACAGGAUUAUAUACCCUGGUAGUCCACGCUGUAAACGAUGAAUACUAGGUGUGGGGGGACUGACCCCCUCCGUGCCGCAGUUAACACAAUAAGUAUUCCACCUGGGGAGUACGAUCGCAGGAUUGAAACUCAAAUGAAUUGGCGGGG